AUCUCUGUAGAGUCUGCAUAUCAAUAAGCGGAGGAAAAGAAACUAACAAGGAUUCCCCUAGUAACGGCGAGUGAAGCGGGAAGAGCUCAAAUUUGAAAUCUUCAAGGUUUGACCUUGACGAAUUGUAGUUUAAAGAAGUGUUUUCGGUUAGAGGAGUAGUAAAAGUUCUUUGGAAUAGGACAUCAUAGAGGGUGAGAAUCCCGUAUUUGACUAUUCUUUCUAGCUUUGUGAUACACUUUCAAAGAGUCGGAUUGUUUGGGAAUGCAGUCCAAAAUGGGUGGUAAAUUUCACCUAAAGCUAAAUAUUGGCGAGAGACCGAUAGCGAACAAGUACCGUGAGGGAAAGAUGAAAAGAACUUUGAAAAGAGAGUUAAACAGUACGUGAAAUUGUCAAAAGGGAAGCGUUUGACACCAGUGUUGUUUUUCCGAAAAUCAAUUAAAAAUUGAUUCAUGCCAGGUUGUAUUGACCUUAUCAGCUUGCAAUUUGGUUUUGGGUCUCUUUUUGAUGCACUUUUCGGUUAACAAGUCAACAUCAAUUUCCUUUGCUGUAAAAAGGUAAGAGGAAGGUGGCUUCAAUUUCGGUUGAAGUGUUUAUAGCCUUUUAUCUCUGCAGCCGGGGAGAUUGAGGUCUGCAGCGUAGAUCCUUCGGGGCUAGAUACAUUUAUGCUAAGUUAUAGCUUUUCAUAGACAACUUGUUGACUAUGUUUAGUCAUGUAGCUUACUCGUAAGUGCUAUUUUACCUACGCUUAGGAUGUUGAGCGCAUGUCUCUCUCU
Molecule: ribosomal RNA, 773 nt
Filed under: uncultured Neocallimastigales
Lineage: Eukaryota; Fungi; Neocallimastigomycota; Neocallimastigomycetes; Neocallimastigales
Description: partial large subunit ribosomal RNA
Rfam family: Eukaryotic large subunit ribosomal RNA
Source: RNAcentral